Molecule: ribosomal RNA, 453 nt
Filed under: Microbacterium sp. LBBMA TRN11
Lineage: Bacteria; Bacillati; Actinomycetota; Actinomycetes; Micrococcales; Microbacteriaceae
Description: bacterial SSU rRNA
Rfam family: Bacterial small subunit ribosomal RNA
Source: RNAcentral
GGGUGCAGUCGAACGGUGAACACGGAGCUUGCUCUGUGGGAUCAGUGGCGAACGGUGUGACGUAACACGUGAUGCACCUGCCCCUGACUCUGGGAUAAUGCGCUGGAAACGGCGCUCUAAUACUGGAUAUGUGACGUGACCGCAUGGUCUGCGUUUGGAAAGAUUUUUCGGAUUGGGGAUGGGCUCGUCGGCCUAUCAGUCUUGUUGGUGAGGUAAUGGCUCACCAAGGCGUCGACGGGUAGCCGGCCUGAGAGGGUGACCGGCCACACUGGGACUGAGACACGGCCCAGACUCCUACGGGAGGCAGCAGUGGGGAAUAUUGCACAAAUGGGCGGGAAGCCUGGAUGCAGCAACCGCCGCGUGGAGGGGAUGGACGGCCUUCGGGUUGUAACCUCUUUUAGCAGGAAAACGAAAGUGACGGUACCUGAAAAAAGCCGCCGGUUAUACGUGCCA